GACGAACCGUGCGAACGUUGUUCGGAUUCACUGGGCAUAAAGGGCGCGUAGGCGGAUGGUCAAGUCGGGGGUGAAAUCUUUCAGCUUAACUGGAAAAGUGCCUCCGAUACUGAUCGUCUCGAGGGAGGUAGGGGCAUGUGGAACUUCCGGUGGAGCGGUGAAAUGCGUAGAUAUCAGAAGGAACGCCGGUGGCGAAAGCGACGUGCUGGACCUCUUCUGACGCUGAGGCGCGAAAGCUAGGGGAGCAAACGGG
Molecule: ribosomal RNA, 253 nt
Filed under: uncultured bacterium
Lineage: Bacteria
Description: partial 16S ribosomal RNA
Rfam family: Bacterial small subunit ribosomal RNA
Source: RNAcentral